GUGCUUGCUUCGGCAGCACAUAUACUAAAAUUGGAACAAUACAGAGAAGAUUAGCACGGCCCCUGCGCGAGGAUGACACGCAAAUUCAUGAAGCGCUCUGUAUUUUU
Small nuclear RNA from Octodon degus (degu), 107 nucleotides. NCBI's taxonomy places the organism in Eukaryota, Metazoa, Chordata, Mammalia, Rodentia, Octodontidae. The record is from Ensembl.